Long non-coding RNA from Belonocnema kinseyi, 665 nucleotides. RefSeq lists it as uncharacterized. Lineage: Eukaryota; Metazoa; Arthropoda; Insecta; Hymenoptera; Cynipidae. The record is from RefSeq and is a predicted model, not a curated record. The transcript is spliced from 3 exons.
AAGUUUUCAUUUAAACAAAGUGUUUGUGGUCAUUUCUUCAAUCAUCCCAGAUUACUCCAAAAGGUUAUGUGCUAGAGUGCACGCUUAUGCUGGGCACGAAUGAGCGGAAAAUUAGACGACAGUAAAUUUAGAAGCAGGACCGGCAACGAUUUUAAGACGAUCAGUACUUGGUAUAGUGUGCAUGUGUUGCCACUCGCUCUCGAUGUAUUCCCAUUUGCUGUGCAUGGGAUAUGAUGCAGACGAGAUGUACAAAGGAAGUCUGCAUAAUAGGGACAGAACGCAGAUUUAAUUGAAAGCAAAUAGGCAAAUUCUAAGUCGUUUUCGGUUCGAUACGCGCGCGCGGCCCCUCAAUCUCCAUGUAUUUCCAUUUGCUGUGCGUGGGGUCUGACGGAGAUGAGGUGCGUGUGCUGUUGCCGGGACGAGUAAUAGAAGAAAAUGGAACCGAUCAAAAACUCGUUGGACGAUGGGUUAAAAUUAACAGACACUCAAAUCCAAGAAAUAGAAGCAGUAAACAUGGAAGUAGAUGAAAAUAAUGAUGUAGAAGAAAAACAAGAAACAUCACAGGACAAGGGAAAAUCAUUAGAGGAAGGACAUAAAACUUCAGAAGCAAAAAGAGACGAGAAAGAAGAGACGAUUCAUACAAUGACAAACCUAAAAUAAAGGAU